RNAcentral lists this ribosomal RNA (704 nucleotides) under Corynebacterium aurimucosum. Its description in RNAcentral is "bacterial SSU rRNA". It matches the Rfam family "Bacterial small subunit ribosomal RNA", at positions 621 to 1326 of the family's 1533-position model. Lineage: Bacteria; Bacillati; Actinomycetota; Actinomycetes; Mycobacteriales; Corynebacteriaceae. The record is from RNAcentral.
GUGCAGGUGAUACGGGCAUAACUUGAGUGCUGUAGGGGAGACUGGAAUUCCUGGUGUAGCGGUGAAAUGCGCAGAUAUCAGGAGGAACACCGAUGGCGAAGGCAGGUCUUUGGGCAGUUACUGACGUUGAGGAGCGAAAGCAUGGGUAGCAAACAGGAUUAGAUACCCUGGUAGUCCAUGCCGUAAACGGUGGGCGCUAGGUGUAGGGGGCUUCCACGUCUUCUGUGCCGUAGCUAACGCAUUAAGCGCCCCGCCUGGGGAGUACGGCCGCAAGGCUAAAACUCAAAGGAAUUGACGGGGGCCCGCACAAGCGGCGGAGCAUGUGGAUUAAUUCGAUGCAACGCGAAGAACCUUACCUGGGCUUGACAUACACCAGAUUGCUGCAGAGAUGUAGUGUCCCUUGUGGUUGGUGUACAGGUGGUGCAUGGUUGUCGUCAGCUCGUGUCGUGAGAUGUUGGGUUAAGUCCCGCAACGAGCGCAACCCUUGUCUUAUGUUGCCAGCAUUUGGUUGGGGACUCAUGAGAGACUGCCGGGGUUAACUCGGAGGAAGGUGGGGAUGACGUCAAAUCAUCAUGCCCCUUAUGUCCAGGGCUUCACACAUGCUACAAUGGUCGGUACAACGCGCAGCGACACUGUGAGGUGGAGCGAAUCGCUGAAAGCCGGCCUUAGUUCGGAUUGGGGUCUGCAACUCGACCCCAUGAAGU